AAAUUCUGCCAGUUAACAGGAUAGUGGUGGAGAACUGACUUAGUUGUUAUGAACACCUUCAACACAGAUUUGAGAAGUCUCUGAUAGGGUGAGCUUGAGUUUGUGUUGUCAUUCCACAAUAUGUGAUACGGAAAAACCUAAAAUUACAUGCAUGAAAGUGUACGAAAAACUGGUGGUGACAUCAAAUCUAAAAACCCCUCGAAGAAAUGGAUUCCAGAGCAGGAUUCAUAAAAUUGAUUGCAAUAUUUGGGAUAAGGGUUCUUGUUUAUAGUUUUUGAAACUUGUGGGUUGAUGGGAGUCUAUAA
RNAcentral lists this long non-coding RNA (305 nucleotides) under Phoenix dactylifera (date palm). Its description in RNAcentral is "long non-coding RNA (PDAC_LNC020900)". The record is from RNAcentral. Lineage: Eukaryota; Viridiplantae; Streptophyta; Magnoliopsida; Arecales; Arecaceae.